CCGCCAGCCCCGCGCUCCUCCGGGCAGAGCGCGUGUGGCCGCCGAGCACAUGGGCCCGCGGGCCGGGCGGGCUCGGGGCGGCCGGGACGAGGAGGGGCGGUGAGGAGCUGUGGGCAAGGAUGUGCCCCGGGACCCCCUGCACCUUCCAGUGGAUUUCCUUGCGCAAGGGAUGUGGUCGGCCCCGGUGACCUGUGGAGACCCGGCCAGAUCUGCCCUCCGGCCUGAUCUUUUGGCCAGAAGGAGAUGAAAAAGAUGCCCCUCAAGACGGCUGCGCCUAUCAGCUGCAUGGAGCUUCGGUCAACUAUUAUUUUCUGAGCCUGAUGGAUUUACAGUGAAUAUUCAGUCGUCUAGGGAAUAACCCUGGUGGAACCAUGCACUGGAAUGACACACGCCCGGCACAUUUCAGGAUACUUAAAGUGGUUUUAGGGGUGGCCCUGGCUGAGUGCCUCAUGGAUUCUUAGAGCUUGGAUAUCCACGGGGGACGAGGGAUUGCAGCUGGCUGCGAGGACUAAGAGCUCUGUUUACUUGGGUCUCUGCCAACUUCCUUUGGAUCUCUCUGUGGAACGUAAGACCCCGACUCUCCUGGUGGAGCGUCUCACGCACGUUCUGUCCAGUGCUCAGCUGGGCUUGAGCUGACCACACUCCCUGGGCCUUCUCCCAAGGGCCCGGGCGUCCUUGGCAUAUGCAGUCAUCGUGAUGGCACUUUAAGUGGAGGCUGAAUCAUCUCUCCUUUGAGCUGCACAGCACAUGGCUCCCUAGUGUUCCCAAUUUACCUCCGAGACACUGAGAUUUGGAGAGGUAAAAGUCACGUAACUGCUUGGGCAGGCCUACCUUUUAGGCAGAUGGAGACUCACGCAUUGUGACUUUGAUCUGUAGGUGUGAAGACUUCCAUUUGGGAUGCCAAGCCCCCAUGUCCAUAGUGUGAGAGUCCAGAGGAUGAGACCUCGGAUCACGAAUCCAAUAACCCUCGCCUUUAACUGCCUGUGUGGGAGAUUCAGGGCCAGCAGCUGCCCUUUCCCUGCCUCUGACCUGGCGAAUGAGUUUAGGUCAACAGAAAUUUUGAGAAACACAUUGAAGGAUCUGUUGACACUUGGUAAACCCAGUAAAAGCAGUGGUUGUGCCAGUCCUAAUCUGUCUUGCUGUGAAUGUGAACAACCGGAACCCAAGCUAAGCAGUUAAUGCUAGCGUGACAGAAACUGGAGCUCUCCCAAGACACGUGACACAGUAACGCAGCAGCCAACUUCUUCACCAAAUUAAAGUUUUACAAGAUUUAACCUGUCAUCAAGACCUGGGAUUAUGAUGAUCCUUCUGGCUGCUGUGUUGAAAGUGGGCUGGAAGUGGCAAAGGUGGAAAGACAGGCUGAUUAGGAGGCUAUUGCGGAAAACCAGCAUAUGGCAGUAAUCCUGGCCUGGGGCAUGCAGAGGAGAUGGGAAGACCUGAUCAGAUUCAGAAUGUAUCUCAAAGAAGGACAGAAUAAUGGACUCCCAGAUUACCAAGCCCCACCAAGAGGAUCACCCCAGGAACCCUUGAGGGCUGAGGAGUGCACUGAGGCUAGUGCAUCUGGAGACUCCAGGAUGAAGACGCAGCUUGGGGUUGUCAAAGGUUAAAAAACCAAGUCACAUGGAAGAUAAAUAACAUGCUCAACAUCGCCCAGCCAGAAGUGGCGGAGACGUGACUAAACUCACAGGGGACAACUCCCGAGUCUUUGCUAGGAACAGCCAGUGAAGAUCCUCACAGAAAGAGGAAGAAGUAGAUGAAUUCAUGACAAAUUAAGAAGUAGAAUGGUGGCCGAUUGUCUUUGGGAGAAAGUGGGAUCAGGACGACUCCAGGAUUCUGCCUGAGAUGGGACACGCUAGAGUAUUACUUGGGAAUGUAAAAAAAAAUAUCAAAUUACUGAAUGAGUUCCAUGUGCUACUGUCUUCAUACUUGAGUUCUAAUUCUGUUAAGGUUGUAUCAUUGUCUUCUUUUUAAAAAGUGUGGAAACGGAGGCUCACAGAGAUGGUACUGUUUUCUCCAAGUCGCAAUGAUGGUAAAUACAGAUGACAGCUGGAUAUCAACUGGCUCUGGGAAGCUUCCAAAUACAGUGACUCAACGCUGCUCCACACAGCCUUCUUACAAGGAAAAAUGAGAACGGAGGCCACGGGCCGGCUUCUGUGAAUUGUGUGUUGUUGGAAUUCCUGUCCUUCCUUGACCCAGAUUUGUAAACAGAGGCUUUGGAAGCCAAAGUACACACGGGCAGAUGCAAAGGAGCCGUCUGAUGAGGAGAAAGUCGAAUGUGCUUGGGGUGGGUGCUCGCCUGCCUGAAGCACGUGUCCCCGAGGCCUCCUGCUGUCUCCGCAGCUGGCUGUCUUGGGCCUGGUGGUCUGCAGAUGGCCACGAAGUGUCUCUGGGCUGUCCAGCUGCAGCCUGAGCGGGCUGGCGGUUUUGGAGGGGCUGAUGCUGCGGGCGCUGGGCAGCCGCUGAUAGAGCUUCCUUUUGCUACUUUUAGGCUUGUUGCUGAGCCUUUUUAAAGGGAAGGGGGGAACAUAAGCAAAGAUAUUUGCUGUAUCUUGGAACUGGAAUGCCCCACUACAAAACCAGCUAUCAUUUACUCACUCAUCCAAGAAAUGCAGGUUGAGCCCCUGUGGAACAGCAGGCCCCAUCAAGAUGCAGCAGGGAUGAACACGAGUACCUGUCUUCAGGGAACUUGCAGUUUAUUGGAUGGAGACAGGCAACCUAUAAAGAUUUGAUUAAAUGUCUAAUAUGUGCUAUAGGAAGAGAAGAAGCAAAGUAAAGGAGUCAAGAAUGAAAAGACCAGGGGACACUUCUCUGACGAAGUCACAUUUGAGCACAGACCCAAACAAAGCAAAGCAGUGGGCCCAGCAGAUCUCCGAGGCUGGGAUGGUCUCUGGCAAAGGGAACAGCAAAUUCAAAAGCCCUGAGCAAGGCAGGCCUCCAGGGAUGUAUGCCUUCUUCAGAUGGGUAAAGAGCACCGUGCUUGGGGAGGGUCUGGAAGCUGCGGCCUGGGAACAAGUGGGAGAACUGAGGUGUUUAGGGUAGAAAAGGGAAGACAUGCAAAUAGCAGGCAGCUUCCCUCACAUCAAGGGUUCAAAGUCUUAUCCGAAGGAUAAAACUUUCUAUUAACGUAAUGGCGGAAGUUGGAACCAAAGACCAGACCAGCGGAUGGAAGUUGCUGGAGGCUGUUUUCAAAGGUUUGUUGAGUAAUGCCCAAAGCAUCAGCUCUAAAAAUAAGGGACGUCAUAUUAGUAUGCUAAGGCCGACAUAAUAAAAUAUCAUAGACUGGAGGGCUUACACAACAGAAAUGUAUUUUCGCACAGUUCUGGAAGCUGGAAGUGUUAGACAAAGGUGUUGGAAGGGUUGGUUUCUUCUGAGGCCUCUUUCCUUGGCUUACAGGUGACCAUCUUCUCUGUAUGCCUUCACAUGGUCCUUUGUCUCUGCAUAUCCAUAUCCUAAUCUCCUCUUUUUAUAAGGACACCAGUCAUAUUGGAUAGAGCCCGCUCGCCUGACCUCAUUUUUAUGUAGUUACCGCUUUAAAGGCCUUAUCUCCAAAUACAGUCAUAUUCUAAAGUAGCGGGGGUUAGGGCUUCAACAUCUUAAUUGUAAAAAGGGGACACAAUUUAGCUCAUAAUAACCUUUCCUUCACAAUUUAAAUUUACUGAAGAAGCUGAAUUGUUUGUUCUGAAAUGAGUGAUUCAUUCUAUCUGGAUUUCUUAGAUUGCCUGUCUGUGGUUCACUGUUUUUCUGGUAAAUGGUACUUAGAUCCUUGAUUGAACUUAAGUUUGAUUUUCAGGCAAGACUACAUCAGGUGGUGGUGUAUACUUCCAUCAAGAGGCAAAUGAUAUCUUCUUGUCUCUCUGUAAGGUACAAAACAAUCUUCAACCACACAAGUGAGGAUUCUGAAGUACCUAGAAUAUCUGGAUGACUGCGGCUUGAGUGGAUGUCCUUGAGACACCUGAAGACCCUGAUGUGCCUUGAAACCAUGAUUCAAUUAGAUCCAUUACUUAAUAACAGCUAUUUUAGAAGGUACUUAUUUUGUAGAUGUCAUUACAUUAGUGUAUGGUACUGGAGUCCGGAAUAGAAGAGGGACAGACAUAAACAGGCAUCUGGGUGGGAGGGAAAUGUUCCGAGAGCUGGGUUUGGAUCCUAGCCCUGACCAGGAUACUAGAAUGUGAUUCUAGCCAAGUGGCCUAAAACUUUGAGUCCACGUUCCUUAUUGGUGAAAUGCAUAUUACAUUUUUCUCUUCAAAAUUUGCUUCAGGUGUCACCUCCCCCAGGUGACCUCCCCUACCCUUCUCCCAGCCUUGUCUGACAGCUCAUCAUCCCCGGGGCAUCCCUCUCACCGAAUGCUCACCUCCAGCAUACACAUAGCUUACCUUUUGCUAUUUACCUAUGUGUCUGCUCCUCAGACUAGGAUUCCUUCAGGUUCAGGACUGUGUCCUCAAAGCUGUUUUCAGGACAGUUGCUUGUUCGUGGUGCUCAACCAAUACUUCAGUGACUAAAAGGAUUGCUCCUGAGUAGUGUUCUAAAUCCCAGCUGCAAACUAGAAAUCCCAAGAAGCUUUUUAACAAUUACUGAUAUACCUCAGGGCUCAACGCGAGAGCUCUCCAGGUGAUUCUAACAUACAGCCAGCGUUGAGAACCAUUGUUCUAGGGGAGUAGUUCUUAAAGUGUGGUCCUCAGACCAGCGCAUGGGCAUCUACAUGGGAAUUUAUUAGAAGUGCAAUUCUUGAGUCUCACUCCAGACCUACUGAAUCAGAAUCCUGGGUCUAGGGCUCAGCUCCACCUUUGUAAUAAGUCCUCCAGGUGAUUCUGAUGCAAGGUAAUGUUUGAGAAACCCUUUUCUAGGGGAGUAACCAGCAGUUCUUUUUUUUUUUUUUUCUUUUUUUUUUCUGUAAAGGGCCAGACAGUAAAUAUUUAUGCUUUGUAAAUCACGCAGUCUUUGUGACAACCUCUUAAGUCUGCUGUUACAACAAGAAAGCAGUCAUAGAUGAUAUAUCUUUGACUGCCAGAAAGAUGUAUAAGCAUCUUGAGCUCUACUGAACUCAGAGUGACAUACUACAUGUCGCAGACACUUCAUUCAAUGAAAAAGGAUCCAUGAUGCAUUGGCCUCCCUUUGAUCUUGUCCCUGUGACUGGCUGCAAGGGUAGGUGAGGUCUUCUGCUGUCAUUUUUUUGUGUGUGUGUCCUAGUUUCCAUUGUUUUUAAGGAACCCUAGAGCCAGAAAGACUGUUGAGGUGCCCUCUAGCUAAACCAUUGGCUUUCGAGCCAGCUCCUGUCUAUUUUCACAGGAUGACAUUUCUCACCUUGAAUUGUUCACAUGUUCCAGUUUUUCCCCUCCUUUUUUAGAAGAAUGGCUCAGCCAAUGAAAUUCUGGCACCUUCUCUUUCAACACCUGAACAAGUUAUCAGGAGAUAAAGACUCUCAUGUAAACUUUGCUGUCAAUAGUCUUUGUGUAAGCCGGUUCAUCUCUUUGUCCUUCAGUCUUCUCACCUAUAAACUAGGCUAGGUACCAGCAGAGGGUCAUUUUGAGGGGGAAAUUUUAAAAAAUUGUCAUGGUAGACUGGAAGUAAUAAGCAGAUGGCACCCUGAAUAUUUUUCACAGAGCAAUGAUAAUAAAUGGUAACAACAUUAGGAAAGAGUGGGUGACUUUUGGGUUUGGAUAUUAGCCAUAGAGAAUUGUGCGUUGAGUGGCAGUGAUGGGCUGGGGGCUGGACAAAAGCUACGGUUUUUCUUAAUCAGGUAGUGACCUCUUCUGGGGAAAGAAAUAGUCUAGCAGGGCCUCAGCAUUAGGAGACACGUACAACGUUUGUACCAAGGCAACCAAUGAUAGAGAGGAUGGUCCCCAGAGGGAAAACCUCUCUGGUUAGUUGUUUGCCCUGGGCAGCCAGGUGGAAAACAAAAAUAAAUGAACUGAAACUAAAAAUCACUUUCCGGGUAGCCUUACCCAAAAGAGCCUUACCCUCAUUGAAACAGAGCUUAUGAAACCUUGUGGGCCUGUAUAUGCAUUGUCGUGAAGCUACUGUCCGUGCAAGCUGGCCAGAUCCAAGAACCCAAGCAACCAGGAGUAAAACCCAAAGAGUUGCUGGCUGUUGGCUGGAAAUCAAACAAAGAAUUAAUUGGAGCUAAGGCUGUGGAGAGUGCCAGUCUGUGACAUUCACGGAAGAAAGCAAGAAAAGUCUGGAGUGGCCUGGACUGCAUAGCAGAAAGAAAAAUCCCUGCAGGGACUGUGUGAAAAAGACUAGAGAGGAUCACAGAAGGAGGUGGCAGCCGUCAUCAGCAAACUAACGCAAGAAGAGAAAAUCAAAUACGGCGUGUUCUCACUUGUAAGUGGGACCUAAGUGAUGAGAACACAUGGACGCAAAUGGGAACAACAGCCAGUGGGGCCACUUGAGGGUGGAAGGUGGGAGGAGGGAGAGGAUUAGAAGAAACAACUAUUGAGUACUAUGCUUGGUACCUGGAUGAUGAAAUAAUCUGUACAACAAACCCCGUGACAAGAGUUUGCCUAUAUAACAAACUUGCACAUGUUCCCUUGAACCUAAAGUAAAAGUUGAAAAAAAUAAAUAAAAAUAAAAGAUUCUGAUGCCUCAGACUAACUUACACUCAGUAAACACAUUCUGAUGUAUUUGUGGGCCAAAGGUCCUAACGGAGUUGGUGAUGAUUAUGAUGAUGAUGAUCAUCAUCAUCGUAUUGAUAAUGGUAAUGGUAAUAAAAAACAGCUUUCAUAUGGAGUCAGGUUUACUGAGAGUACAUGAGAUACAAUGCUCUUUCAGAGGGACAAAGCAAGAUUCGGAGGAUGGUGAGGGAGAGGUCUAGAGGAGCAAGCUACUUUUGCCCAAUGGUCAUGCAGCAGCUUAAAAACCAUACUACCAUUCACCAUUCUGAAUGGUAAUUGUCUGGCCCUCGUGGACUAACAGGUCUUGGAGGGCAGGGAGCAUGUCUCAUUCAUUGUUAUAUCUCUAGUACCUGGUGUAUAAAAAGUCUCAGAAAACAAACAUUGAUUGACUGAAGGAAUAAAUAAACAUACGAAUAGCUGUUUAAUGUAGCCGAUUAAAAGGAAUUAGGUAAAAUGUUUUCCAUUACUUGUUUUCUGAUUUGUGAAGAGUCAUUAUUUCUUCUGACAGUAAAAAAAAAAUUAAAAAGCAAGAGGUAGAUAUCUUUUUAAAGUUUUGUCCUUCCAUACUCAUACAUUGACCAAUACAAAUUAAACUACUGAAGGAGACAGAGCCAGUGUUUCCUGGCCAAAUACUCUGCAAUUAAUUAUUUCUAUCAUCUAGAAUAUGAUUUGAUUGGGUAUUGAUACAAGAGGGCAGAGCCUAUGGUAUAUUCUCCGUUACAUUCUGAACAGCUAAGAACUGUGCCUGCCACCCCACCCAGUAAGCACUCAAUAUUUUUAAAAUAAAUAAAGAAAUGACUGCUAAAUGUUCUUUCAUUUUUGUUUUAAGCCCAUUUAUAAGGAAGUUUAAAUCCAAAGCACUUUUUCCACCUACCCCUGGACCUUAACAUUGAGCCUAGUGUCACAGGCAAGAACCCAACAGAACUAAAAGGUUUUUGUUUGUACAACGCUAUUUGCCAGGAUUACUAAGCAAACAGGAGAAAUGGAACAAAAUGAUAAAAACAAUUUGUGGUGCUUUCCUGUGGGAUUUUUGGAGGUUUUUCAAAGCAUGACUAGUGACUAAUGUAAUUGACUUUUGGAGGAGAAGGGGAAGAAAAAUGGGCACCCAAUUAUGGACUUUGUCUCCUGUGAGGUUUGUGGUUCUGUCCAGUCUUUGCAAAACAUCACUUUUUUAGAGUGGCCUGUAGCUGGGUACAUAGGCCAAUGGCAUUCACUGGAAAUACAGGGAGCCUGGACUUUCGCAGAAAUGAGGGUUCAUUAUGUGACAGAAUUCAGGUGGCAGCAGAGUCAAGGGACAGGGAGCAGUGGCUGAACUCAGGUGAUCAGUGGUGGCACCUUGAUUGCCUGGAUUAGUAAUAGACACAAACAUUUGGGUAGCUGCUAGGUUUCUUACAACUAGAAGGACAUAGCUCACAAAACAGGCUAACAGCUCAUUCAGUUCGAGGUGAACAUUAUUGUUCCCAUGUAGCAGCUGAGGAAACUGAGGCCUGGAAAUUGCAUUGAACUUGCUUGAGGUUACCCCACUAGGUUAAUCAGGUCCAGAUUUUGCAUUUUCACUGUUGUGUCAUGAGCUCUUUCAUUACAGAAAAAAACUAAAUAGCCUCAACUUUGGCCACUAGCCCAGAGAUUGGGAAUGAUUCAUAGUUAUUCUCUAAUUACUGGUUUACUCUGAAGCUUGCCUGCAUCUCUGGGAAGCUCCUGGUAUAGAGAUACAUUCAAUAAUUACAAUAGUUUUUUUUUUUUUUUUUUUUUCCUGGGGGUUGUACAGUGAAGCCUAGCGAGAAAAUGCAGGAUAGUUGAUCGCAGGGGCUUUAAAACCCCUGGAAUUUUAACAACUCAUAAAUAUUAAGCAUUUGCUAAGGGCGAGGUAGAACUCUGAAGGCUCUAUGUGAAGGAACUCCCCCAGUAGUUGCAAUAACUUUGUGAGAUAUGCAUUGUUAUCAUCUCCACUUAAUGGUGAUUGAGACUGAGGCUCAGAGAAAUUGACCUGCCCAAGGUUACUCAGCUAGAAAGUGGAAGAGCUGAGCAGCAACUUCAGGUAGUUUGACCAAUUCUUUUUGGCUGUGAAGGUGCCUGCUUAAUAACAAAAAAACUAUACUAGUGGUUCUUAAAAUGGUGCUAGGACCAGCAGCAUUGGCAUCAAUGGGUAAACUGGUAGAGAUGCAAAUUCUUGGCCUCACUCCAGACCUACUGAAUCAGAAACUCUAGCAGUAGAGGCCAGAAAUCUGAGUUUUAACAGCUUUUCAGUGGAUGUUGAUGCCCACUCAAGUUUGAGAACUGGACAUACUAAAUCACUGUGCUUUCUCAGAAGAAAGGACUUGUACAGAGUACUGACUGCACCAGACGAGCUUAGAGACUUGGGAAGAUGUUCUUCCAAAAGAUGCUAUUACUUUGGGCUUUUGGACUAUACAUGAGAGAGUAGAGUGGAAGUAGAAUCUGUUAAGAAAGAGUAUGUGAUGAGAGAAGGUAGUAGAAAGAGGUGACGUCACAACCACCUUCUGAGAAUGUGAUGUGUUUGUAGAACAAGUGUUGAUUAUCCACUAAGACUCACUGAGAUCAAGUGACUCGGCCAAGGUCAGGUAAUCAGUGACAAAUGAAUGCACUCAAACGCAGUCCCCUGACUCCUUAGAGAGUAUGUGAAAGCUACAUUUCCUCACUAGAGUAGGGUGAGGCAUUAGCGGUUCAGUGAACCUCUGAAUCAUGAGAACCUCUCCUCAUGAUUUAGUAACUGUCACAACUUCUCCCGACUAGAUGAGCUAGAAUUGAAAGAAGAAUGGAAAAGAUAGGAAUUUGGUGGUCCCAGGAAGGAGGGAAGACUAAGGGGAGAAUUCAGAGAGAGGUGCUAAGGAGACAAGGAUGUCUUUAAGUUACCGCUCUGGAACCCAUGGCUGUCUCCUUACCUUGAUCAGCAUUGUCAUCAUUUAUUGGGUUGCACAUGCUCUAGCAUGUUACCAACCAGAAAAUACAACACAGGCGACCUUGACUUUAAUUCACAACUUUGCUAGUGAUCUCAAGCAGAUUAUUUCCUCAUGUACAAAAUGAAGAUCAUUAGAGUUCCAACCUCAUGGGAAUUGAGGGAGUUUUAAAAGAAAGAACGUAAGUAAAACCCCUAGUAGGUUGUCUUGCUCUUAAUAAGUGCUGAAUACACAGGCGCUGUGUUGUUGUUAUUAUCUUAUCCAAAGGCUGGUUCACAGGGCAAGGCAGCCAUGGACAUAAAAGGAUGCCUCAGUGAGUGAGGAUGAUGAUUUAGCUGUUUGUGGACACAUAAAUCUCCCACUACUUGUCCAUUGCCAUUUUAAUCUCUACUCCCUUAUCCAUCACCUCUGCCUUCUCAGAUCCUCACUCAGAGAGAGUGGUCUUAAGAAAGGACCCCUUCAAUCUCUUGUUCCUAGAGAGGUCAUGGGUGCAUCUCAUUUAUUUCACUGUAUCACCCAACUCUGCAUGCAGCAUCCAGGGCAUCAGGGCACCUGGACACCAGCUGCCAGGAGAUGACAGGUAGACAGAGAGGAAUGCUUUCAAAAAAUGUCAUCUGGACAUUCCUUCCAAUUGAUUGCUUAGCAGAUUCACGGCAAAACAAAGUUUUCUGGACCCUGUUACCUCCUUUGUUUACUUAAAUGACACUAAUAUUUAUUGAUCAAUUGCAAUAGAACAAGUGUUAUAUGAUACUUUAAAAAUGUUUUUUCAUUCAAAUGUUGUGAUGAUAUUUGUAAAGUGAGUAUAAUUAUUUCCACUUUAUAAAUGAGGUAAAUAGUAAUGGAUAUUGGAAUCAGGAUUUAAAUCACAUUUCUGGCUCCAAUUAAGUCUUUUAUCAGUUAAUGUCUUAAAUGGCUGCUUCCUCCUAAAAAAUGAAUAUCUUGAUAAGGAGGCCCCUUGGCAAGGUACAUGGAGGAAAGUUUUGUAGGGAAGGAGCCUGAUUCCCCUGAAUUAAAGACAUCUUUCUGCUCACACUGGUAUAUAAUUUGGAUCCUCUCCAUUCUCUGGCCAUAUCUUCGUGAUUAUGCCUUUUUACUUAGCCUUGUAAAUGGACAAUAACUCUACUCAGAGUCAAAUUAAGGGGUGAGCUAGACAGGAAGUUGCCAGGGGAUUGAUUCUAUAAUAGGCUCUAAUACAUCACUGGAAAUUUAAUGACAUGGAACAGUUUAUUUAUUAAUAUUCCAUGCACAGAGAAUUCUGCUUGGAAGAAAUGUUUGAUAAGACACUGAAGGUGGAAAGAGGUACAGGACAGUUAUUUUCUAGGGAUGGUGGAUCAGGCCAGGGCCAGGAUGGUAUGCAAAUCUGGGCCAGAGCAGAAUCGUUUGAGAGGACAAAGGGGAGGCUGAGGUUGCUACCAACAAGCUACUUUCUCUGAUUUUCCCACACAUCACAGAUGGCCAAACAGUUAAAAACAUAUUUUCUUGAAGGCGCACUGAAUCAUUCCCCUGUCCAGGGUGCUCCCACCCCUGAGUGAAGUCCUGAUGCUGCUCAGAAUGCUGCAUAGGCCCUCAUGCUCUCAUAUUCAUUUCUCUUUUUCCUUCUCUUUCUCAUUCUCUGGGUGUUGCUGUGCAGUGUUCCAUUCUGAUCUCCAGCUCUAGGUCAUUUUCUAUCACAGAACAACACCUGCAGCUUGGACAAGAACAACAGAAUGUGUGAUGGGCAAUGGUGAGACCUGAGAGACAGAGACAGAGAAGGCUGGGUUCCAGGACAUUUCUAGCAUCAAGAAGAGGAGGUCGAAAUUUAGAAUCUCUUGCUCUGCCUCUUCCUACAUGUCUUGACCAAGAUUCUUGAGCUCAUCCAUGAAACAAUAUGAAAAGCAAACAUUGUUUGAACACUUAACUAUUAUAGGCACUAUUCUCAGUACUUUAUGUGUUUAUGAAAAUAAUUCUCCUAAUAACCCCAAAAUAUAUUUACUUUUAUAAUCCCCAUUUUAAACAUGAGAAAAUGGAGGCACAGAGAGGUUGAGUAACUUGUUCAAGUUCACACAUCCAGCAAACAGAGUUCAAAUGCAAGUAUUUUGGUGCCAGAAGUUUCAUUCUCAACUACUUUGUGAUACUGCCUCUCUGAAGGGGACAAAAAGCAUUGGUGAAAGUGAAAUAAGUCAGGUAUCUAAAAUCUUUUUAGACAUUGAAAUUGUUUGAGUGUGAGUACUAUUAUUAGCCCUCCCCACCUCCUAUAUCUCUGCUAUUGGCAGAAAUAAAAAUAUGCAUCCAGAGAUGCCUAGAAGGGAACAGAACUCACCCAGGUGGCGCAUGCAGAUGGAGAAGGGGCUGCCCCUUUUGCCAAAGAGUGAAGAGAGAUUCGAGUGCUGUUCACCAUUGUGCUCUUGGUAUUUAGCCCAUGCCCAACAUGCAGUAGGGCAUCAGGUAAUAGUCACUAAAUAAGUCUGAGUUUGGAUCCUUGCUCUUUCUUGGUGAGUUAAUGAAGUUUUCUAAGCUCCAUGUUCCUUUCAUUUCAGAAUUACGAGGUUGGGUAACGACUUCAGUGGUCCUGAGACCUAAAUCUAGAUAAACGUAGAUUUUGAAUAACGGAUGAUAAUUGCUGAUAUUGUUAUUCUAGGCCAGUGGCCAACAAUCUUUUCCUGUAAAUGACCAGGUAAAAAAUAUUUUAGACUUUGUGGAGUAGACUGUCCCUGUCACAGAAACUCAAUGCUGCCAUUGUAGUGUGAACAGCCAUAGACAAUUCAUAAACAAGUAGGCAUGGCUGUGCUCCAAUAAAACUUUAUUUACAAAAAGAGGUGGUAGACGGGAUGUGGCCCUUGGUUUGUAGUUUGCUGACCUCUGUAUUCUAUGGUCUAAGCAGUGAGAAUCUGAAAGGUGCUAAGCCACAUUAACAGACUGAAAAUGUUCUUAAACUUUCUAGACAAAGCUCAUCUCUUCAUUCCUUUCCAGUGUUAAGGAUGAGCAAUACUUUCCUGGCAGGGGAAUCUGUGUUCUCCAAGUGUAUGCUUGUUUGUAAUAUUUCUUUAACAGGUGUGAGUGGUGAGAACCCUUCCUCCACAUAUUUUCCUUCUAACUUCUUGUUUCCUGGUAACUGUGCACCUUCUCCACAUACCUCUAGAGCUAGCCAGUGGUGAGAACACAAAGAAUUUGGGAGGUCGGACCUUUGCUUGACUCCCAAAUAGAACCUUAGUAAUAUGGUAUAUUUAUCUAGAAUAAGUGGUGUCCUGAAAAAUAUAUUAAAAAGAUGGUGAUUUAAAAAAAAAUGUGGUAGUGCCUUGGAAAAAGAACAACGUGAAAUAUUAUAUUUUAUAUGUUAAAGAGAAUGAGCCAAAUGUGCUUUGGGGUAUACAGAGAGAGAGAACAUCAGUAGUUUUUCAGUGUUUACUGUUUCUCAAUUAUCUAAGAGGGGCCUGAGACACCACAAGUUGAUGGUUCAUCCAGAACCACAGGGGAUGGGUAACUGUGGCUCCCCAUGGGAACAUCAGGGGGCUCUUAAAACAAGAAGGGGGAAGAAUGAGACUUAAACACUGCAUUUGGUUCUGGUAAAUAUGAGGUGGCUCUCCAACCUUACUCUUUUGAGCAUCUGUUUUCUCUCCUAUGCUGAUGAAAAUAAUGUGAAAAGCACUUUGCUCAUUGCCUGGCACAAGCUAGAUCUAGAAUAAGUGGAAACUGUAAGUUUUCAUUUGGUUUGUUGAUAUUAUUAAUGAAAUCUGACACUUCUUAAAUCUUAACAAACAUUAGGCCUAUCUGAGCUGAUCACAUACUUACUGGACUCCGAUGCAUGUCACCUUUCGAUGUCAUUGGCAACCCACAUCCUGUCCAUCCUUCUGUUUGUUCUUCCAUUCUUCAAGGUUCAGCAAUGUUUCUCCUCAUGGCUGCAUUAUGGCUGCAUCACCCCCAUGCAUUCUGUAUUCUCAGAACAUCAUCUCCUACAAGAAGAAAGGGGAAGAGGUGGCAAAAGGGCCUCUUCUCCUAUGCUUGUCUUUCUAUUUGGGAGGAGAGUAUUUCCAAGAAGACCCCUUUCAGACUUUCCCUUACAUGCCAUUGACCAGAAGUGUGUCACAUAUCCAGCUGUAAACAAAUGGCUGGCAAAGUGAGUAGGUAACUACGGUUGGCUGAGAAGACUCAGGAUUCAGCCAUGGGACCAAAACAAGGAAGGAGGGCGAGUAGCCAGUGUAGCACAGGGCCUGAUGAAAAGGGUACUUCCUUUCUCAAUCCCUCCCUUUUCCUUGAGAAACACGUAUGUUGUUUUCAGCAGUUCCUAACAGAGUGCCUGGCCGAAAAUGGCACUCCAUAUAUAUUUUUGGUGGAUAAAUAAUGACUAAAUAAGUAAUGAAUAGAAUUUUCUUCUUUUUGUCUUUUUUUUUUUUUCACCUAGACCUCUGGUUUCCGCUUUUCUGAGUCUGGGUUAGGCAGCCAUGGUAUUCUUCCAGUCUGAAGAUGACUUUCUAAAUUUGCUAACAUGGGAAGGAUUGAAUACGGCCUGUCACACUGUCCACAUUCAUCCUUUGAUAUAAGUUGGCCAGUGUGGUCAAAGACAGGCCAGCGUGGGUGAGGCUGAUGGCAUACUCAAGGGCUGCAUGCACAGACGUGACCAAGCCCUUUGUAAGCAAGAUUGGAAGUCGAGAUACGCCUGUUCCCUUUAAUCAUCUCUUUGGGCAGUUUCCUAUCACUUUUCAAGCUCCCCCAUUAGAAUGUCAGCAAAAUAACAGGGAUCUGCAGAAAAAAAAUAUUAAGAGAAAUGAUUUGAAAUGCACUAAGCACUUUGGAAGCAUUAGUUGUCAAACCUUUAACGAGAUAAUUAUAAAUGCCCUUUACUUAGUGCAUAGCUCAAAUGAUCUACAACACAUUUUUAGGUAUCACUUUGUUGAUCUAGUUUGAAUGAAGCACUGGAAAACAUUUCUUUACAUAAGUGGUUAUUCUGGAUUAUUUGUGGCUUCAGUCCUGUUUACCCCCAUUGCGAGGCCAAAAUGAGAAUUUUUGUGCUCAUAUCUGGAAUGCUCAGGGGAAUAAGAUAGAAUGGCAGAGUGGUUGUCUAAUCUGACUUGAAUCUGUUCGCUAUCACUUAUUAGUGUGACACAUUGGGCAAAUGGCUUAAUGUCUCCAACCUCAGUGUCCUCAUCUGCAAAACUGGGCAAUACUCGAGGGUGGUUCUGGCAUGGUGCAUGGCACAUUGUAAGGGUGAAAUAAAUGCUAUCUUGAAUUGCUUUUGACAUGUUAUAUUCUUCAGUUUAUCACUGAAACAUACUUUUUAUAAAGACAACUGUAGUUGUCACCUUUGAAAUAUAGAUUAUGCCAUGUGGCUAUCCCAAUGUCAGCCCAUCCAACAACAGUUCACCAAUGUUGUAAGGAGGUUUCUAAAGCCUUGGAAUGGCCCUGGGCACUUGGAUUAUAUUAAGCAACUGAUGAGGCCUCAUGCCACAGAAAACUUUGACCCAACAAUUAAGGUGGUUUAAAAACACUCAAGAAAUAGGUCUUUCUUUGCUAUGCAAAAAUUAGUUUCUUUAAUUUAAAUGGACUGAUUAUGUUACUCAAAAUUGUCACUUC
This is a long non-coding RNA of Cebus imitator (Panamanian white-faced capuchin), 15073 nucleotides long. RefSeq lists it as uncharacterized. The record is from RefSeq and is a predicted model, not a curated record. The transcript is spliced from 14 exons. Lineage: Eukaryota; Metazoa; Chordata; Mammalia; Primates; Cebidae.